GUCCAGCUGACGAGUCCCAAAUGGGACGAAACGCGCGUCCUGGAC
Molecule: non-coding RNA, 45 nt
Filed under: Schistosoma bovis
Lineage: Eukaryota; Metazoa; Platyhelminthes; Trematoda; Strigeidida; Schistosomatidae
Also listed under: 1 other name
Source: RNAcentral